AGAAGAAGAAAAGGACUUCCGGUCUUUUAAAUUGAAACAGCAGCAAGCGGUAAAAUAAAUCCACACACGCAUGUUAACAAUGGACGUAAAAGAGGAAACUGAGGAACUGAAUGAAGUGAAAGUAAAAGAGGAACUGAAUAAAGUGGAGGAGAGACAACAGGAACCUCAUGAUGUCAUCACUGUAGAAAAAACUUCUGAUCGCUUACAAACAUCAACUAAGAAAAGAGGAACCAAACAUUCAGUCAUAUCUCAUCAACAUAAAAAGAGUACCAGAAGAAACGGACACCAUAGUGAUGACAUAAGCAAUAAAAAUAAAGAGAGACCUUACACGUGCAACAAGUGUGGAAAGAGUUAAAAAAAUGGAGCCUUAAGGUACACGUAAGGAUUCAUACUGGAGAUAAACUUUACACCUGCCCUCAAUGUGGAAAGCGUUUUAAUCAAAGAAGCCGCCUUACAUCUCAUCUAAGGAUUCACACGGGAGAGAAACCUUACACUUGCACCGAGUGUGGAAAGAGUUUUACAGAGAAAUGACCGCUUAAGACUCACUUAACAGUUCACAGCGGUGAGAAACCUUUCACUUGCCUUCAGUGUGGAAAGAGUUUUUUACAAAAAGGACUCUUCAGAGUUCACACUGGUGACAGACCUUACACGUGUCCUCAGUGUGGAAAGGGUUUUACAACUCCAUCAAAACUCAAAAUUCACCAGCAAUCUCAUUCUGGAGAAAAAUCAUUCAGCUGUGAUGUUUGCGGAAAGAAAUGUUCCUAAAAAUACACCAGAAAAUCCAUGCCAGUGAAAAGCCUCACUCGUGUUCAGUUUGUGGAAAGAGUUUUCCAGUGAUUGACUAUUUGAAAAUACACCAGAAAAUUAAUACUGGUGAGAGAACUCACAUGUGCUCUGAGUGUGGAAAAUCAUUUUAUACAGCUGGAGCCUUGACACGGCACCAAAAAAUCCACACUGGAGAAAAAACAUGCGCGUGUUCACAUUGUAGAAAGAGAUUCACUCAUUUAUGUAACCUUAAGAGACAAGAGAGAGUUCACAUUGGACAGAAGCCAUAUGCGUGUUCACAUUGUGGAAAAGGAUUCACUAAUUUAAGUAACUGUAAGGAUCAUUUAUAUCGAUCAGAAAUCACUCAUAAAUAAUUUUUUUCUCACAUAUUUAUGUUACUAAAUCAAGAAAGUGAAAAAAGAAACGCUAAUUUAAUGUAAGUCUCUGAGGUAAAAACAAAAAGCCGUUAUUUUUUUAAUUAUGCGAAUUCGCGCUUUUUGCUGAGAACAAAAGCGGGUACUCGUGAAGAGCGCGAGGUAAGACAUAACAGACGUGCACACUUAUGAAUAAUGGGUUUAAUUAUGCUUUUAUUUAAUUUCCUCAACAAACAAACAAACAAAAAAAACAUUACCAAAAAAAUAACCAUUAGAGAACGUUCUGUACAAGUUAUUUUUAGGUUAUUUAAAAAUAACCACCCUGCAACGUUAUGGGAAAGUUAUGUUAUGGUUGCAAAAAUAAAACCUAAAAAGAACGUGUUUGGUUCCCAAAAAACUAACGUUAGGGUAACGUCUUUGUUUGCUGGGAUUCUCAAUGGUCUGUGUAUGUGUAAUGAUGACGAUUACCUUUGUCUGACUAGAAGCAGAUUUAGCAGGUGUUAUUAUAUCAAAACAGUGGAAAGUUACUGUUUCACAACAUUUACAUGACAUUAAUAUAAACCUUGAGAUAGAGACCAUAUUGGAGACUCAUAUUAACAUUAAAAGAAAACACAGCUCUAACAUAAGAUUUAAACAACAUAAUAGAAUAACUAGAAUGAAAAGAAUAUAAUAUAAACUAAAUAUAAAUAAAAAUAGAAAAGAAUAAUACAAAUAAGAAGGGAAUGGUAAAAUAAAUGAUAUAUGUAAUAAAUGAAUUAAAAACAAAUAAUAAGCUGGACAUCUGAAAAAUGGGUUAUGGCACCAAGCUUACGAAGAUGCAGUCUUGAUCAGCGACACCUAUCUGCGAGGUGUGAUAUUGCUUAAGGCGAACAAUUAUUUCGUCUUUGCACAUUGACCGUGGUGCGAUAAAGCAGCAGAGCAAACCGUGCUUUCACUGAGACGGCAUAAUUUAAACUUGACUCAUAGCACUAAAGCACACACAAACACACACAUGCACAGACAGACACAGUCACAUCAUUGGUCAAACUGUUCAUCGGGUGAAAGAGGGAAAAUUUGACACUAGCCGGUUGCAAUAGUUACUUAAUGAACAUAUCACAUUCUGUUAAUUUAACAGAUUAAUAAACAUGACGUUGAUUUUUUGAGAGGUAAAAUAUUGCCAUAGUAUUAACAUGUGUUUGUUCGCAUAAGAUGAAUGCCAUUAACAUUUUAGCAUGACUUUUUUCAGGACAUACAAGAAUGAAUAUUUAUAUCACAACAGUUGUAUAUUUGUCAGCAUGGCACAUUCAAUUACACUUUAACUAAAUUACAUUUAAACCCAUUCAAUUUUAGCCAACUAAAUCUAACAUAGAUUUUUUCAACGCUCAACAAUCUUACGCUAUUAUUUGACUAAAUCUAGACUAAACUAAAACAAUUCUGGGGCCAUAUUCACAAAUAAUUUUAAGGCUAAAAGUAGCUCCUAACUGGCAAAUUUAGGAGCAACUCCUAAAAAUAAUGGGCGUGUCACUCCUAACUUUAGGACUCCUAAUUUUUUUUCACUAAGAGUAAUUCACGAAGCAUUUUAGCCCUAAAAGUAGCACCUAAGUCUGGGACAGCUUAAAAGAAGUCGAGAGGACUCCCAACUCACUAAGACCUAUUCACAAAGGAUCGUAAAAUGGCUUUUAGGUGCUAAUUACAUUCUCUACUUCUUAUAUUAUCUAUUGGUUUUCUGUGUUCUCCUCUACAUCUUCUCAUGUAAAGCUGCUUUGCAACAAUUAACACUUGUGAAAAGCGCUAUAUAAAUAAAAUUGAAUAGAAUUG
This is a non-coding RNA of Misgurnus anguillicaudatus (oriental weatherfish), 2936 nucleotides long. NCBI's taxonomy places the organism in Eukaryota, Metazoa, Chordata, Actinopteri, Cypriniformes, Cobitidae. The record is from RefSeq and is a predicted model, not a curated record.